UAAAUUUUGUUUAUUUAAUUUUUGGUAUUGCAUAUCAUUUAAAGAAAAUUUUAUAAUAAUGAAAUAUAGAAUUAAAAGGUAGAAUUUUUUUUAUCUUUAUUGUUUCAUAAUAAAGAUUAAAAAUUUUAGGGUUGAAAAGUCGACUUUUAAGAUAUCUGUUUUUUGUUGUUUAUUAGAAAUUUAUAAAAAUUUUUUGUUUUAUUUGUAAAUAGUAAAAGUUGAAGUAUUUAUAUUUUUAGUUUUAUAACUGUUUAUGUAUUAAUAUAAUGUGUUAAGUUGUUUUAAUUCAUUAAAUUUUUAGUGAAUAUAUUAUUUUGGAAUUAGUAAAUUUAAAAAAUUUAGUAGGUCAAAUAAAUAUAAUAAAAUAACUAAAAGGUUAAUCAAAUGUUUUUUAAAGACUUAGACUUUUAAAUAAAGUUUGCUUCUGCCCAAUGAUUUUUUUAGAAAUGGCAGUCUUAGCGUGAGGACAUUAAGGUAGCAAAAUAAUUUGUGCUUUUAUUGAGUUCCAGUAUGAAUGAAGUUAUUGGUUAAUUAUUUUUUUAUUUUUUUUGAAUUUUAUUACAGUAUAAAAAAAUAUUGUUAUAAUUAUACAAAGAUAAGUCUUCGGAAAUUCUUUUAAAUAUUUAAUAAGUUAUUUAUUAAGUUUUUAAAUUUUCUAGGGCAGAAUUUUAUAUAAUUUGUUAAUCUAUUAAUAAAUUUUAGAAUUACUCCGGAGUUAACAGAAAAUCAUACCUAAUCUAGUUCUUAUAGUAAGGUAAGUUUUACAUCGAUGUUGUAUUUAAGUUUUUUAAGAAAGGAGAAGAUUUAAUUAUUAAGACUGUUCUUCUUUAAUUUAACUUAACGUGAUAUUAGUUUAAUUCAUUGUGAGAUAGAAUUGUUUAUCUUGAUAAUUAUUUUUUUUUAAUUUUAAUAGUACGAAAGGAAAAUUAAAAAAAGUUUAAAACUUUAAAAGGUUGAUCCUUA
This 963-nucleotide ribosomal RNA is filed under the name Ancylostoma caninum (dog hookworm). Its description in RNAcentral is "rrnL". Lineage: Eukaryota; Metazoa; Nematoda; Chromadorea; Rhabditida; Ancylostomatidae. The record is from RNAcentral.